CUGACCUUAGCUCAGUUGGUAGAGCGGAGGACUAUAGAUCCUUAGGUCGCUGGUUCGAAUCCGGCAGGUCGGA
This 73-nucleotide transfer RNA is filed under the name Zingiber officinale. Its description in RNAcentral is "tRNA-Tyr". It matches the Rfam family "tRNA". From Rfam's summary of the family: Transfer RNA (tRNA) molecules are approximately 80 nucleotides in length. Their secondary structure includes four short double-helical elements and three loops (D, anti-codon, and T loops). Further hydrogen bonds mediate the characteristic L-shaped molecular structure. tRNAs have two regions of fundamental functional importance: the anti-codon, which is responsible for specific mRNA codon recognition, and the 3' end, to which the tRNAs corresponding amino acid is attached (by aminoacyl-tRNA synthetases). tRNAs cope with the degeneracy of the genetic code in two manners: having more than one tRNA (with a specific anti-codon) for a particular amino acid; and 'wobble' base-pairing, i.e. permitting non-standard base-pairing at the 3rd anti-codon position. Lineage: Eukaryota; Viridiplantae; Streptophyta; Magnoliopsida; Zingiberales; Zingiberaceae. The record is from RNAcentral.